RNAcentral lists this non-coding RNA (76 nucleotides) under unclassified sequences. Its description in RNAcentral is "S15-Methanomicrobia ribosomal protein leader". It matches the Rfam family "S15-Methanomicrobia ribosomal protein leader". The record is from RNAcentral.
AGCACGAAAUCGUGCUGGCAUAUGUAAGUCCGACGUGCCUUUUGGCACGGCCUUGCUCGUAAUGGCUUGGGAUUAC